AAGGUUUGGUCCCGACCUUGAAGACAAUUAUUACUUAAUAUACACAUGCAAGUCUCCGCCCACCCGUGAAAACGCCCUUAAACCCCUUAUAGGGACAAGGAGCUGGUAUCAGGCACGAAAAUCUGCCCAAAACACCUAGCUUUGCCACACCCACAAGGGAACUCAGCAGUGAUUAACAUUGAAUAUUAGCAC
RNAcentral lists this ribosomal RNA (192 nucleotides) under Atelopus elegans. RNAcentral describes it as "partial 12S ribosomal RNA". Lineage: Eukaryota; Metazoa; Chordata; Amphibia; Anura; Bufonidae. The record is from RNAcentral.